AAAAUUUUUUAAGUUUUCUUUUAAAAACUUUCUCUUGAGUUUUCUUUUAAAAGAUUUUAACAAUCUUUUUAUAUCGUGGGAGUCAUCUUUAAGCCUACUAUUGCCAACGAGUUUUUCUUGGAAGGGAAAUUAGAAUUGUUUGAAAGGGGUUGUGGAUUCAUCUUGUUUCCAAGGCUUCUUAGGACUUCUACACGUCACUUUUAUCUUUUCCAUCUCUUUUCUUUAUUUUUCUGUUAUGUUCUUGUUAUUUUGAAUCUAAUCUUUGAAUUUACUUAAUUCUAGGUCUUGUUUCAAUCAAGAGAGGCGUCCUCCUAUCUUCUCUCAUCAAGAAACAUCCCAAAAAUAGGGGUUCUUUGCUUUUCUUGUUGUUUGAAUUCUUUUGUUACAAAACAAUUUACUUUUGGCUUAAUUUUUCAUUCUACUAAAUUGUUCUGUUAUUUUGCUUCAGAUAUUUUUGGAGACAUCUUUAAAGUUCAAUAACGAGUUCUUAUCUUCCAAGAAACCUUGUUCUACUCAUUCUUGGACUCCUAUCCUCGUUCGACAGCUUCUUUUUCAUCAAGAACGACCCAAAUGACUCCAAACACCUGGGUUUUCAUUGUUCUUGGCUGACCGAACCUUCUCUUUAAUUAUUCUUGUGAUUUCAUUCAGUUUUUAGUCUAUAUUCUUCAAAUAUGUUUUAAUUGUUUGCAUUCACUUAAUUAGCAGCCUUAAUUCUUAAUUCUAUCUCCCUGCUUUAUUAUUACUUGAUUUUUGUUGUUUCCUUUUCAAUUCUAACUUGGAUUGCUCAGGUUGAGUCAAACUCGAACUUCAAGUUUCCGUUCGUUUGUCUAAAGCCCUAAAUCAAAUCCGCGACUUGGACAAACUUAUGAUCUUAUUCCAUGCGUAUCCCUAUUAGUUGGCAUCUAUUUUUUGAGCAUUUUAGGUGUUAUUUGUGUCUUUAUAAACUGAUUUACAUCAAAAUAGCCUCAAAACAAUUUUUUUACCAAGAAACUUUUUGAAAAAAAAAUUCAAUGGGUAAACAUUUUCUAAACGACCUAAAAAUUUACAUACUAAUUCUUGACACUAUUUUGAAAUAUAAAAAAUAUUUCCUACAAAAAAAAUAAAAAAAGUAAAAAGAAAGAAGAAAUUAGAAAAUAUUACGUGGGCUAAAUUUCAUCUUAAAACUUUCCAGAUCAGAUCUACAUUAUUUGAGGAGACUCUAUUUUAAAUUUUGUGAUUUUUUGAAAUUUUGAACACCUCGAACAAAGUUUAUCAAGUUGCUCCACAAUUUUCGAGUUUUCGAGUUUCAACGAUUUUCAUUAACUCUUAACAUUAUGUUUUCAUUUGUUUUUGCCUUUUAUUGUUCAUUUACGCAUUCUAAUACUUUAUUGUUUCUUGUGUUAGUAGGUUUGCUUCCUCCGUGCAACAUAAUUCUUUGGUAUCUAGUCGAUUUUAGACUUCUAGUGUCACUAGGUUUGCUUUGCGAGUUUGAUUCUCACACAUUCUGAUUGGUUGAUAUAAACACUUUUAAAAGACUCACAAGAUUAAUUACUACCUCAUUGAGAGUUUGAUUUUAUUUCUAAGUGCAUAACGCGGUUUGCUUAAUUUUUCAUUUUGAGUGUAGUGUUAUUUUUAGGCUUUCACAAUGACUCGUGAUACUCGUAAUAGCAAAGCGAAUGAUGAUCCGAGUGAAAAGCCAUCAGUUACCAUAAAGAACCCUGCUAGUUUCACGACAAAGUUGCAAUAAGACUUUUUUAGGUCAAUGAUAAGUUCGAGAACAUGAUUGGUAAAUUGCAACAAGACCUAGAUGCUGGUCCAAGUUAAGCGAGAGAAAGUUGGCAGGAAUUGAUCUAAUUCGUAAGACUGAGGAUAAAGUCGGAGUUAUUUGGGACUAUUUAAAAGUCGCCUUAAACCGUAAACAAUCAUAUGCUGAUAUGAAAAGGAAAUAUAUUGAGUUUUAGAUAGAUGAUAAAGUGUUUUUGAAAGUCUCGCCCUGGAAGAAAAUUGGUCCGAGAUUGAUAAGGUCUUACAAGAUUCUAAAGAGAAUUGGUCUAGUAGCUUGCAGACUAGCUUUGCCUCCACAGCUCGAGAAGAUUCAUAAUGUUUUCCAUAUACCAAUGCCACGUUGUUAUUGUUUUUAUCCUUCCCAUGUAAUAGGUUUAGAUGAGAUAAAAUUAUAGCCUGAUUUGACCUAUAAUGAAGAACUGGUAAAUAUUUUGACUCGGGAAAUAAAAGAAUUCUGAAAUAAA
This is a long non-coding RNA of Gossypium raimondii (Peruvian cotton), 2228 nucleotides long. RefSeq lists it as uncharacterized. The record is from RefSeq and is a predicted model, not a curated record. The transcript has 2 exons. Lineage: Eukaryota; Viridiplantae; Streptophyta; Magnoliopsida; Malvales; Malvaceae.